GAUGAACGCUGGCGGCGUGCCUAAUACAUGCAAGUCGAGCGAACAGACGAGGAGCUUGCUCCUCUGACGUUAGCGGCGGACGGGUGAGUAACACGUGGAUAACCUACCUAUAAGACUGGGAUAACUUCGGGAAACCGGAGCUAAUACCGGAUAAUAUAUUGAACCGCAUGGUUCAAUAGUGAAAGACGGUUUUGCUGUCACUUAUAGAUGGAUCCGCGCCGCAUUAGCUAGUUGGUAAGGUAACGGCUUACCAAGGCAACGAUGCGUAGCCGACCUGAGAGGGUGAUCGGCCGCACUGGAACUGAGACACGGUCCAGACCCCUACGGGAGGCAGCAGUAGGGAAUCUUCCGCAAGGGCGAAAGCCUGACGGAGCAACGCCGCGUGAGUGAUGAAGGUCUUCGGAUCGUAAAACUCUGUUAUUAGGGAAGAACAAAUGUGUAAGUAACUAUGCACGUCUUGACGGUACCUAAUCAGAAAGCCACGGCUAACUACGUG
RNAcentral lists this ribosomal RNA (496 nucleotides) under uncultured bacterium. Its description in RNAcentral is "partial 16S ribosomal RNA". It matches the Rfam family "Bacterial small subunit ribosomal RNA", at positions 28 to 507 of the family's 1533-position model. The record is from RNAcentral.